Molecule: ribosomal RNA, 373 nt
Filed under: uncultured organism
Description: bacterial SSU rRNA
Rfam family: Bacterial small subunit ribosomal RNA
Source: RNAcentral
CGAGGGCUCCAAGCGUUAUCCGGAUUUAUUGGGCGUAAAGGGUCUUCAGGUGGUUUGGUUAGUCGGGCGUUAAAUUCCGCCGCUUAACGGCGGAGCUGCGUUCGAAACGGCCAAACUCGAGGGAUGGAGAGGGAGUAGGAACUCACGGUGUAGGGGUGAAAUCCGUUGAUAUCGUGGGGAACACCAAAGGCGAAGGCAAACUCCUGGCCAUUUCCUGACACUCAUAAGACGAAAGCGUGGGGAGCGAACAGGAUUAGAUGCCCUGGUAGUCCACGCCCUAAACGAUGCACACUCGCUGUUCCGAGUAUCGACCCUCGGAGUGGCUUAGCUAACGCGUUAAGUGUGCCGCCUGGGAAGUACGGCCGCAAGGCUA